CCGAGUUUACAACUCCCAAACCCCUGUGAACAUACCUAUCGUUGCUUCGGCGGGUUCGCCCCAGCUUGACACAAGCUGGACCCAGGCGCCCGCCGGAGGACCCAAACUCUUGUUUUUUUGAGUAUCUUCUGAGUAAACAAGCAAAUAAAUUA
Molecule: unclassified non-coding RNA, 152 nt
Filed under: uncultured Ascomycota
Lineage: Eukaryota; Fungi; Ascomycota
Description: sequence contains ITS1
Source: RNAcentral